This 503-nucleotide ribosomal RNA is filed under the name uncultured bacterium. Its description in RNAcentral is "partial 16S ribosomal RNA". It matches the Rfam family "Bacterial small subunit ribosomal RNA", at positions 30 to 523 of the family's 1533-position model. The record is from RNAcentral.
AUUGAACGCUGGCGGCAGGCUUAACACAUGCAAGUCGAGCGGGGUGAUGGUGCUUGCACUAUCACUUAGCGGCGGACGGGUGAGUAAUGCUUAGGAAUCUGCCUAUUAGUGGGGGACAACAUCUCGAAAGGGAUGCUAAUACCGCAUACGUCCUACGGGAGAAAGCAGGGGAUCACUUGUGACCUUGCGCUAAUAGAUGAGCCUAAGUCGGAUUAGCUAGUUGGUGGGGUAAAGGCCUACCAAGGCGACGAUCUGUAGCGGGUCUGAGAGGAUGAUCCGCCACACUGGGACGGAGACACGGCCCAGACUCCUACGGGAGGCAGCAGUGGGGAAUAUUGGACAAUGGGGGGAACCCUGAUCCAGCCAUGCCGCGUGUGUGAAGAAGGCCUUAUGGUUGUAAAGCACUUUAAGCGAGGAGGAGGCCCUUUUGGUUAAUACCCAAGAUGAGUGGACGUUACUCGCAGAAUAAGCACCGGCUAACUCUGUGCCAGCAGCCGCCGUAA